GACGAACGCUGGCGGCGUGCUUAACACAUGCAAGUCGAACGGAAAGGCCCUGCUUUUGUGGGGUGCUCGAGUGGCGAACGGGUGAGUAACACGUGAGUAACCUGCCCUUGACUUUGGGAUAACUUCAGGAAACUGGGGCUAAUACCGGAUAGGAGCUCCUGCUGCAUGGUGGGGGUUGGAAAGUUUCGGCGGUUGGGGAUGGACUCGCGGCUUAUCAGCUGGUUGGUGGGGUAGUGGCUUACCAAGGCUUUGACGGGUAGCCGGCCUGAGAGGGUGACCGGCCACAUUGGGACUGAGAUACGGCCCAGACUCCUACGGGAGGCAGCAGUGGGGAAUAUUGCACAAUGGGCGGAAGCCUGAUGCAGCAACGCCGCGUGCGGGAUGACGGCCUUCGGGUUGUAAACCGCUUUCGCCUGUGACGAAGCGUGAGUGACGGUAAUGGGUAAAGAAGCACCGGCUAACUACGUGCCAGCAGCCGCGGUGAUACGUAGGGUGCGAGCGUUGUCCGGAUUUAUUGGGCGUAAAGGGCUCGUAGGUGGUUGAUCGCGUCGGAAGUGUAAUCUUGGGGCUUAACCCUGAGCGUGCUUUCGAUACGGGUUGACUUGAGGAAGGUAGGGGAGAAUGGAAUUCCUGGUGGAGCGGUGGAAUGCGCAGAUAUCAGGAGGAACACCAGUGGCGAAGGCGGUUCUCUGGGCCUUUCCUGACGCUGAGGAGCGAAAGCGUGGGGAGCGAACAGGCUUAGAUACCCUGGUAGUCCACGCUGUAAACGGUGGGUACUAGGUGUGGGGUCCAUUCCACGGGUUCCGUGCCGUAGCUAACGCUUUAAGUACCCCGCCUGGGGAGUACGGCCGCAAGGCUAAAACUCAAAGGAAUUGACGGGGCCCCGCACAAGCGGCGGAGCAUGCGGAUUAAUUCGAUGCAACGCGUAGAACCUUACCUGGGUUUGACAUGGAUCGGGAGUGCUCAGAGAUGGGUGUGCCUCUUUUGGGGUCGGUUCACAGGUGGUGCAUGGCUGUCGUCAGCCCGUGUCGUGAGAUGUUGGGUUAAGUCCCGCAACGAGCGCAACCCUUGUUCACUGUUGCCAGCACGUUAUGGUGGGGACUCAGUGGGGACCGCCGGGGUCAGCUCGGAGGAAGGUGGGGAUGACGUCAAGUCAUCAUGCCCCUUAUGUCCAGGGCUUCACGCAUGCUACAAUGGCUGGUACAGAGAGUGGCGAGCCUGUGAGGGUGAGCGAAUCUCGGAAAGCCGGUCUCGGUUCGGAUUGGGGUCUGCAACUCGACCUCGUGAAGUCGGAGUCGCUAGUAAUCGCAGAUCAGCAACGCUGCGGUGAAUACGUUCCCGGGGCU
This 1346-nucleotide ribosomal RNA is filed under the name uncultured bacterium. RNAcentral's name for it is "partial 16S ribosomal RNA". It matches the Rfam family "Bacterial small subunit ribosomal RNA", at positions 28 to 1381 of the family's 1533-position model. The record is from RNAcentral.